This 406-nucleotide ribosomal RNA is filed under the name uncultured bacterium. RNAcentral describes it as "partial 16S ribosomal RNA". It matches the Rfam family "Bacterial small subunit ribosomal RNA", at positions 30 to 526 of the family's 1533-position model. The record is from RNAcentral.
AUUGAACGCUGGCGGCAGGCCUAACACAUGCAAGUCGGGCGAGUGGCGGACGGGUGAGUAAUGUCUGGGGAACUGCCUGAUGGAGGGGGCUAACUACUGGAAACGGUAGCUAAUACCGCAUACCAUCAGAUGAUCCCAUAUGGGAUUAGCUAGUAGGUGUGGUAACGGCUCACCUAGGCGACGAUCCCUAGCUGUUCUGAGAGGAUGACCAGCCAUACUGGAACUGAGACACGGCCCAGACUCCUACGUGAGGCCGCAGUGGGGAAUAUUGCACAAUGGGCGCAAGCCGGAUGCAGCCAUGCCGCGUGUAUGAAGAAGGCCGUCGGGUUGUAAAGUACGUUCAGACGGGAGGCGUUACCGGCAGAAGAAGCACCGGCUAACGCCGUGCCAGCAGCCGCGGUAAUAC